ACGUGUGCUCUUCCAAUCUCAGUCAUUGGAUGCAGCAGAUUUCAUGGAGACUGUCUUACAAAGAUUUUGUCUUACAAAGAUUACUGAAGUAAGACUAAAGAUGUAUAAGCAUUCC
This is a long non-coding RNA of Herpailurus yagouaroundi (jaguarundi), 115 nucleotides long. RefSeq lists it as uncharacterized. The transcript has 4 exons. Lineage: Eukaryota; Metazoa; Chordata; Mammalia; Carnivora; Felidae. The record is from RefSeq and is a predicted model, not a curated record.